ACGGGAGGCAGCAGUAGGGAAUAUUGCACAAUGGGGGAAACCCUGAUGCAGCGACGCCGCGUGAGUGAUGAAGUAUUUCGGUACGUAAAACUCUAUCAGCAGGGAAGAUAAUGACGGUACCUGACUAAGAAGCCCCGGCUAACUACGUGCCAGCAGCCGCGGUAAUACGUAGGGGGCAAGCGUUAUCCGGAUUUACUGGGUGUAAAGGGAGUGUAGGUGGCCUGGCAAGCCAGAUGUGAAAGCCCGCGGCUCAACCGCGGGACUGCAUUUGAAACUGUUUGGCUUGAGUGCAGGAGAGGAAAGCGGAAUUCCUAGUGGAGCGGUGAAAUGCGUAGAUAUUAGGAGGAACACCAGUGGCGAAGGCGGCUUUCUGGACUGUAACUGACCCUGAGGCUAGAAAGCGUGGGGAGCAAACAGGAUUAGAUACCCUGGUA
RNAcentral lists this ribosomal RNA (434 nucleotides) under uncultured bacterium. RNAcentral's name for it is "partial 16S ribosomal RNA". It matches the Rfam family "Bacterial small subunit ribosomal RNA", at positions 341 to 792 of the family's 1533-position model. The record is from RNAcentral.